GACGAACGCUGGCGGCGUGCUUAACACAUGCAAGUCGAACGGAAAGGCCCUGCUUUUGUGGGGUGCUCGAGUGGCGAACGGGUGAGUAACACGUGAGUAACCUGCCCUUGACUUUGGGAUAACUUCAGGAAACUGGGGCUAAUACCGGAUAGGAGCUCCUGCUGCAUGGUGGGGGUUGGAAAGUUUCGGCGGUUGGGGAUGGACUCGCGGCUUAUCAGCUUGUUGGUGGGGUAGUGGCUUACCAAGGCUUUGACGGGUAGCCGGCCUGAGAGGGUGACCGGCCACAUUGGGACUGAGAUACGGCCCAGACUCCUACGGGAGGCAGCAGUGGGGAAUAUUGCGCAAUGGGCGGAAGCCUGAUGCAGCAACGCCGCGUGCGGGAUGACGGCCCUCGGGUUGUAAACCGCUUUCGCCUGUGACGAAGCGUGAGUGACGGUAAUGGGUAAAGAAGCACCGGCUAACUACGUG
This 468-nucleotide ribosomal RNA is filed under the name uncultured bacterium. RNAcentral's name for it is "partial 16S ribosomal RNA". It matches the Rfam family "Bacterial small subunit ribosomal RNA", at positions 28 to 507 of the family's 1533-position model. The record is from RNAcentral.